Molecule: non-coding RNA, 200 nt
Filed under: Flavobacteriia bacterium
Lineage: Bacteria; Pseudomonadati; Bacteroidota; Flavobacteriia
Source: RNAcentral
UUUUUGCACUCGAAUUAUGGUUGGAUUUUACACUUUUCGUAAAAUUCAUUAAAAGGGAAUCAGGUGUAAAACCUGAGCUGUACCCGCAACUGUAUGCUAAUAAGGUUAUUGUUACUACAAAUCCACUGUUCCGAUAUUAGGGAUGGGAAGGAAAACAAUAAUACGCAAGCCAGGAGACCUGCCGCAAUUCAUAAUGUAUC